GCUUAACACAUGCAAGUCGAGCGGUAAGGCCCUUCGGGGUACACGAGCGGCGAACGGGUGAGUAACACGUGGGUGAUCUGCCUCGCACUCUGGGAUAAGCCUGGGAAACUGGGUCUAAUACCGGAUAUGACCUUACAUCGCAUGGUGUUUGGUGGAAAGAUUUAUCGGUGCGAGAUGGGCCCGCGGCCUAUCAGCUUGUUGGUGGGGUAAUGGCCUACCAAGGCGACGACGGGUAGCCGGCCUGAGAGGGCGACCGGCCACACUGGGACUGAGACACGGCCCAGACUCCUACGGGAGGCAGCAGUGGGGAAUAUUGCACAAUGGGCGAAAGCCUGAUGCAGCGACGCCGCGUGAGGGAUGACGGCCUUCGGGUUGUAAACCUCUUUCGACAGGGACGAAGCGCAAGUGACGGUACCUGUAGAAGAAGCACCGGCCAACUACGUGCCAGCAGCCGCGGUAAUACGUAGGGUGCGAGCGUUGUCCGGAAUUACUGGGCGUAAAGAGCUUGUAGGCGGCUUGUCGCGUCGAUCGUGAAAACUUGGGGCUCAACCCCAAGCUUGCGGUCGAUACGGGCAAGCUUGAGUACUUCAGGGGAGACUGGAAUUC
RNAcentral lists this ribosomal RNA (606 nucleotides) under Nocardia cyriacigeorgica. RNAcentral's name for it is "bacterial SSU rRNA". It matches the Rfam family "Bacterial small subunit ribosomal RNA", at positions 46 to 669 of the family's 1533-position model. Lineage: Bacteria; Bacillati; Actinomycetota; Actinomycetes; Mycobacteriales; Nocardiaceae. The record is from RNAcentral.